UUGUUCUGCCUUCCGUUCGCCACCAUUUGGCAGGAUUUGCUUCUAAUUGACCUGCGCAACAUCAAACCAUUUGUCUCGGGGAAUUUCCUGGGCUAUAAGAUAAAUGUUCGAUAUCACAAAAGAAGUCAUUUAUAUUAGUCUUACCAUCAUAUUUUGGCAUGGGUGGCAACGGAGCAUUCAUAAUAACAAUUGGUCAAGAGUGACAAUAAUUUUGGCCUCGGUGGGAAGACAGGUGCUUCUGGAUUACCUUCUUCCUGUCCUGACAACUGAUACAUUCUGGUGGCUGGUGAGAUCCCCGGAGAACUUAAUCUGGUAACUUGCUCUUGAAAACUAAUUACUUGAUCCGUU
This 348-nucleotide long non-coding RNA is filed under the name Androctonus crassicauda. Lineage: Eukaryota; Metazoa; Arthropoda; Arachnida; Scorpiones; Buthidae. The record is from RNAcentral.